UUAAGUUAUUAAGGGCGCACGGUGGAUGCCUUGGCACUAGAAGCCGAUGAAGGACGUUACUAACGACGAUAUGCUUUGGGGAGCUGUAAGUAAGCUUUGAUCCAGAGAUUUCCGAAUGGGGAAACCCAGCAUGAGUUAUGUCAUGUUAUCGAUAUGUGAAUACAUAGCAUAUCAGAAGGCACACCCGGAGAACUGAAACAUCUUAGUACCCGGAGGAAGAGAAAGAAAAUUCGAUUCCCUUAGUAGCGGCGAGCGAAACGGGAAGAGCCCAAACCAAAAAGCUUGCUUGUUGGGGUUGUAGGACACUCUGUACGGAGUUACAAAGGACGACAUUAGACGAAUCAUCUGGAAAGAUGAAUCAAAGAAGGUAAUAAUCCUGUAGUCGAAAAUGUUGUCUCUCUUGAGUGGAUCCUGAGUACGACGGAGCACGUGAAAUUCCGUCGGAAUCUGGGAGGACCAUCUCCUAAGGCUAAAUACUCUCUAGUGACCGAUAGUGAACCAGUACCGUGAGGGAAAGGUGAAAAGCACCCCGGAAGGGGAGUGAAAUAGAACCUGAAACCGUGUGCUUACAAGUAGUCAGAGCCCGUUAAUGGGUGAUGGCGUGCCUUUUGUAGAAUGAACCGGCGAGUUACGAUUUGAUGCAAGGUUAAGCAGUAAAUGUGGAGCCGUAGCGAAAGCGAGUCUGAAUAGGGCGUUUAGUAUUUGGUCGUAGACCCGAAACCAGGUGAUCUACCCUUGGUCAGGUUGAAGUUCAGGUAACACUGAAUGGAGGACCGAACCGACUUACGUUGAAAAGUGAGCGGAUGAACUGAGGGUAGCGGAGAAAUUCCAAUCGAACCUGGAGAUAGCUGGUUCUCUCCGAAAUAGCUUUAGGGCUAGCCUCAAGUGAUGAUUAUUGGAGGUAGAGCACUGUUUGGACGAGGGGCCCCUCUCGGGUUACCGAAUUCAGACAAACUCCGAAUGCCAAUUAAUUUAACUUGGGAGUCAGAACAUGGGUGAUAAGGUCCGUGUUCGAAAGGGAAACAGCCCAGACCACCAGCUAAGGUCCCAAAAUAUAUGUUAAGUGGAAAAGGAUGUGGCGUUGCCCAGACAACUAGGAUGUUGGCUUAGAAGCAGCCAUCAUUUAAAGAGUGCGUAAUAGCUCACUAGUCGAGUGACACUGCGCCGAAAAUGUACCGGGGCUAAACAUAUUACCGAAGCUGUGGAUUGUCCUUUGGACAAUGGUAGGAGAGCGUUCUAAGGGCGUUGAAGCAUGAUCGUAAGGACAUGUGGAGCGCUUAGAAGUGAGAAUGCCGGUGUGAGUAGCGAAAGACGGGUGAGAAUCCCGUCCACCGAUUGACUAAGGUUUCCAGAGGAAGGCUCGUCCGCUCUGGGUUAGUCGGGUCCUAAGCUGAGGCCGACAGGCGUAGGCGAUGGAUAACAGGUUGAUAUUCCUGUACCACCUAUAAUCGUUUUAAUCGAUGGGGGGACGCAGUAGGAUAGGCGAAGCGUGCGAUUGGAUUGCACGUCUAAGCAGUAAGGCUGAGUAUUAGGCAAAUCCGGUACUCGUUAAGGCUGAGCUGUGAUGGGGAGAAGACAUUGAGUCUUCGAGUCGUUGAUUUCACACUGCCGAGAAAAGCCUCUAGAUAGAAAAUAGGUGCCCGUACCGCAAACCGACACAGGUAGUCAAGAUGAGAAUUCUAAGGUGAGCGAGCGAACUCUCGUUAAGGAACUCGGCAAAAUGACCCCGUAACUUCGGGAGAAGGGGUGCUCUUUAGGGUUAACGCCCAGAAGAGCCGCAGUGAAUAGGCCCAAGCGACUGUUUAUCAAAAACACAGGUCUCUGCUAAACCGUAAGGUGAUGUAUAGGGGCUGACGCCUGCCCGGUGCUGGAAGGUUAAGAGGAGUGGUUAGCUUCUGCGAAGCUACGAAUCGAAGCCCCAGUAAACGGCGGCCGUAACUAUAACGGUCCUAAGGUAGCGAAAUUCCUUGUCGGGUAAGUUCCGACCCGCACGAAAGGCGUAACGAUUUGGGCACUGUCUCAACGAGAGACUCGGUGAAAUCAUAGUACCUGUGAAGAUGCAGGUUACCCGCGACAGGACGGAAAGACCCCGUGGAGCUUUACUGUAGCCUGAUAUUGAAAUUCGGCACAGCUUGUACAGGAUAGGUAGGAGCCUUUGAAACGUGAGCGCUAGCUUACGUGGAGGCGCUGGUGGGAUACUACCCUAGCUGUGUUGGCUUUCUAACCCGCACCACUUAUCGUGGUGGGAGACAGUGUCAAGCGGGCAGUUUGACUGGGGCGGUCGCCUCCUAAAAGGUAACGGAGGCGCUCAAAGGUUCCCUCAGAAUGGUUGGAAAUCAUUCAUAGAGUGUAAAGGCAUAAGGGAGCUUGACUGCGAGACCUACAAGUCGAGCAGGGUCGAAAGACGGACUUAGUGAUCCGGUGGUUCCGCAUGGAAGGGCCAUCGCUCAACGGAUAAAAGCUACCCCGGGGAUAACAGGCUUAUCUCCCCCAAGAGUUCACAUCGACGGGGAGGUUUGGCACCUCGAUGUCGGCUCAUCGCAUCCUGGGGCUGUAGUCGGUCCCAAGGGUUGGGCUGUUCGCCCAUUAAAGCGGUACGCGAGCUGGGUUCAGAACGUCGUGAGACAGUUCGGUCCCUAUCCGUCGUGGGCGUAGGAAAUUUGAGAGGAGCUGUCCUUAGUACGAGAGGACCGGGAUGGACAUACCUCUGGUGUACCAGUUGUCGUGCCAACGGCAUAGCUGGGUAGCUAUGUGUGGACGGGAUAAGUGCUGAAAGCAUCUAAGCAUGAAGCCCCCCUCAAGAUGAGAUUUCCCAACUUCGGUUAUAAGAUCCCUCAAAGAUGAUGAGGUUAAUAGGUUCGAGGUGGAAGCAUGGUGACAUGUGGAGCUGACGAAUACUAAUCGAUCGAAGACUUAAUCAA
RNAcentral lists this ribosomal RNA (2921 nucleotides) under Staphylococcus aureus M1255. RNAcentral describes it as "bacterial LSU rRNA". It matches the Rfam family "Bacterial large subunit ribosomal RNA". RNAcentral also lists the same sequence under 2 other names. The record is from RNAcentral. Lineage: Bacteria; Bacillati; Bacillota; Bacilli; Caryophanales; Staphylococcaceae.